Molecule: transfer RNA, 75 nt
Filed under: Tistrella bauzanensis
Lineage: Bacteria; Pseudomonadati; Pseudomonadota; Alphaproteobacteria; Geminicoccales; Geminicoccaceae
Also listed under: 1 other name
Description: tRNA-Thr
Rfam family: tRNA
About the family: Transfer RNA (tRNA) molecules are approximately 80 nucleotides in length.
Source: RNAcentral
GCCGGCGUAGCUCAGGGGUAGAGCAACUGAUUCGUAAUCAGUAGGUCGUUGGUUCAAUUCCGACCGCCGGCACCA